RNAcentral lists this ribosomal RNA (329 nucleotides) under uncultured bacterium. RNAcentral describes it as "bacterial SSU rRNA". It matches the Rfam family "Bacterial small subunit ribosomal RNA", at positions 468 to 793 of the family's 1533-position model. The record is from RNAcentral.
UUUGACGUUACCUACAGAAGAAGCACCGGCUAACUCCGUGCCAGCAGCCGCGGUAAUACGGAGGGUGCGAGCGUUAAUCGGAAUUACUGGGCGUAAAGCGCAUGCAGGCGGCCUGUUAAGUCAGAUGUGAAAGCCCGGGGCGUUAACCUCGGAAUUGCAUUUGAAACUGGCAGGCUAGAGUCUUGUAGAGGGGGGUAGGAAUUUCAGGUGUAGCGGUGAAAUGCGUAGAGAUCUGAAGGAAUACCAGUGGCGAAGGCGGCCCCCUGGACAAAGACUGACGCUCAGAUGCGAAAGCGUGGGGAGCAAACAGGAUUAGAUACCCCUGGUAG